AACAAACGCUGGCGGCGUGCCUAACACAUGCAAGUCGUACGAGAAAGUCGGCUUCGGCCGGUGAGUAAAGUGGCGCACGGGUGAGUAACGCGUGGAUAAUCUGCCCUCCGGUCAGGAAUAACCAAUCGAAAGGUUGGCUAAUACCCGAUCACACUCUUGCACUGCGGUGCAAUAGUCAAAGAUGGCCUCUGUAUACAAGCUAUCGCCGGGGGAUGAGUCCGCGUACCAUUAGCUGGUUGGUGGGGUAAUGGCCUACCAAGGCGAUGAUGGUUAGCUGGUCUGAGAGGAUGGCCAGCCACACUGGAACUGAGACACGGUCCAGACUCCUACGGGAGGCAGCAGUGAGGAAUCUUGCGCAAUGGGGGAAACCCUGACGCAGCAACGCCGCGUGAGUGAGGAAGGCCCUCGGGUCGUAAAGCUCUGUCGAGCGGGAAGAAAUGUAUCAUGGCUAAUAUCCAUGAUACUUGACGGUACCGCUAAAGG
This 483-nucleotide ribosomal RNA is filed under the name uncultured bacterium. Its description in RNAcentral is "bacterial SSU rRNA". It matches the Rfam family "Bacterial small subunit ribosomal RNA", at positions 29 to 487 of the family's 1533-position model. The record is from RNAcentral.